UACAGAGGUGGCAAGCGUUGUUCGGAAUUACUGGGCGUAAAGGGCGCGUAGGCGGCGGGGUAAGUCGGGUGUGAAAUCUCAGAGCUCAACUCUGAAACUGCACUCGAUACUGCUCUGCUUGAGGACUGGAGAGGAGACUGGAAUUCACGGUGUAGCAGUGAAAUGCGUAGAUAUCGUGAGGAAGACCAGUGGCGAAGGCGGGUCUCUGGACAGUUCCUGACGCUGAGGCGCGAAGGCCAGGGGAGCAAACGGG
RNAcentral lists this ribosomal RNA (253 nucleotides) under uncultured bacterium. RNAcentral describes it as "partial 16S ribosomal RNA". It matches the Rfam family "Bacterial small subunit ribosomal RNA", at positions 524 to 776 of the family's 1533-position model. The record is from RNAcentral.